AUCAGAGAGCUAAAAAGGCUUUCAACAACUCAAUGGUAAACACAAACAGUAACAAAUAAAUCUCCGACCAACACACAAAGCACACAGGAUCAAGCAGAAUCAGAAAGGAUAUUCAGACGACCAACGGAUUAGAGCACAACACCUACUGCUGGAAUAUCACAUGAUUAGGAAGAAACAUAGUGCCUUAACAGCAACAAUA
RNAcentral lists this long non-coding RNA (199 nucleotides) under Nicotiana benthamiana. Its description in RNAcentral is "long non-coding RNA (NBEN_LNC008233)". Lineage: Eukaryota; Viridiplantae; Streptophyta; Magnoliopsida; Solanales; Solanaceae. The record is from RNAcentral.